UUGCAGGGAAAUGAAUUAUCUUUCUUUCUCAAGUCACCUUUGACAGACACCUUCCUGUGCCCCUUGGAGAGGCAGGAGAUAUCCAGCAUCCCUGACUGGUAGUCCCAUUCGCCCAGCAAAAGCCCUGGGACUCAGAGGUGGCUCCUAAUCCUGCCUGGCUCUGGGUUUCCAAAGGCAGCUGCCAAUCAGAGAGUAGUAUGGCUUAAAAAUCUGUACCAAGUGCAAGACUCAGUGGCAUCUUCAUGACCUCCGCUUGGGCAGGGACUGAACUAAAGGGCACUUCUGGCGCUUUGGAUCGACGGAGAAUCAGUGCAGAAGACCCCAACCCGUGCAAGAUGAGCAGUUGAAUCUCUGGGAAGUCAAGUGACUGGCCCAAGACCAGUGCAGCCGGGAUCCCAGCCUGGGCUUAUUGGAUCCUCUCUGUGAUAUCAUGCUGCCUCCUAAGACACAGGACAGGGUUUCUCAUGACUCCUGAGGACAUGAUAGUGGCCCUUAGGGUGCAGAGGGGCCUCCCAUCUGGCUGAACAGUAGCCAUGGAGUAUUCACAUAAGUGGAACCAGUUAUGUAUGGAGCUGGGGGUGUGAAAGGAGGAGGAGGCAGAGGAAAACAAAGAAGAUGUGGAGACAUCAGCCAGCUCUGAGGAGUGGACAUCCUACCUGGAGAGAUGAAACAAGGUCCU
Long non-coding RNA from Artibeus jamaicensis (Jamaican fruit-eating bat), 679 nucleotides. RefSeq lists it as uncharacterized. The record is from RefSeq and is a predicted model, not a curated record. The transcript has 4 exons. Lineage: Eukaryota; Metazoa; Chordata; Mammalia; Chiroptera; Phyllostomidae.